CAGUGGGGAAUAUUGGACAAUGGGCGAAAGCCUGAUCCAGCCAUGCCGCGUGUGUGAAGAAGGUCUUCGGAUUGUAAAGCACUUUAAGUUGGGAGGAAGGGCAUUAACCUAAUACGUUAGUGUUUUGACGUUACCGACAGAAUAAGCACCGGCUAACUCUGUGCCAGCAGCCGCGGUAAUACAGAGGGUGCAAGCGUUAAUCGGAAUUACUGGGCGUAAAGCGCGCGUAGGUGGUUUGUUAAGUUGGAUGUGAAAUCCCCGGGCUCAACCUGGGAACUGCAUUCAAAACUGACUGACUAGAGUAUGGUAGAGGGUGGUGGAAUUUCCUGUGUAGCGGUGAAAUGCGUAGAUAUAGGAAGGAACACCAGUGGCGAAGGCGACCACCUGGACUAAUACUGACACUGAGGUGCG
Molecule: ribosomal RNA, 411 nt
Filed under: Pseudomonas sp. 10A2
Lineage: Bacteria; Pseudomonadati; Pseudomonadota; Gammaproteobacteria; Pseudomonadales; Pseudomonadaceae
Description: bacterial SSU rRNA
Rfam family: Bacterial small subunit ribosomal RNA
Source: RNAcentral